Molecule: non-coding RNA, 24 nt
Filed under: Cricetulus griseus (Chinese hamster)
Lineage: Eukaryota; Metazoa; Chordata; Mammalia; Rodentia; Cricetidae
Source: RNAcentral
ACUUUAUGAUUCUGUUUUGCCCUG